GUCCCGAUGGCCGAGUGGUUAAGGCGUUGUACUCGAAAUCCAAUGGGAUCUUCCCGCGCAGAUUCGAACCCUGUUCGUGACG
RNAcentral lists this transfer RNA (82 nucleotides) under Mizuhopecten yessoensis (Yesso scallop). Its description in RNAcentral is "tRNA-Ser". It matches the Rfam family "tRNA". From Rfam's summary of the family: Transfer RNA (tRNA) molecules are approximately 80 nucleotides in length. Their secondary structure includes four short double-helical elements and three loops (D, anti-codon, and T loops). The record is from Rfam by way of RNAcentral. Lineage: Eukaryota; Metazoa; Mollusca; Bivalvia; Pectinida; Pectinidae.